Molecule: non-coding RNA, 153 nt
Filed under: human gut metagenome
Also listed under: 1 other name
Description: Lysine riboswitch
Rfam family: Lysine riboswitch aptamer
About the family: Riboswitches are metabolite binding domains within certain messenger RNAs that serve as precision sensors for their corresponding targets. Allosteric rearrangement of mRNA structure is mediated by ligand binding, and this results in modulation of gene expression.
Source: RNAcentral
UGAUAGAGGCGCGGUUCUCAUCAGUACCCCGUGCGCAACCGGGAAGGGGCGCGGGCGAAAGGGUCGAACCGCCGAAGGGCGAAGGCCUCCCAACCUUCGCGCCUGGGGCGCGGCAGAACAUGUCGCGCACUGUCGCUUUCGCGGAGAGCUAUC